This 1006-nucleotide ribosomal RNA is filed under the name Exserohilum rostratum. RNAcentral describes it as "partial 28S ribosomal RNA". It matches the Rfam family "Eukaryotic large subunit ribosomal RNA", at positions 1 to 1023 of the family's 3401-position model. Lineage: Eukaryota; Fungi; Ascomycota; Dothideomycetes; Pleosporales; Pleosporaceae. The record is from RNAcentral.
AUUUUGACCUCGGAUCAGGUAGGGAUACCCGCUGAACUUAAGCAUAUCAAUAAGCGGAGGAAAAGAAACCAACAGGGAUUGCCCUAGUAACGGCGAGUGAAGCGGCAACAGCUCAAAUUUGAAAUCUGGCUCUUUCAGAGUCCGAGUUGUAAUUUGCAGAGGGCGCUUUGGCUUUGGCAGCGGUCCAAGUUCCUUGGAACAGGACGUCACAGAGGGUGAGAAUCCCGUACGUGGUCGCUAGCUAUUGCCGUGUAAAGCCCCUUCGACGAGUCGAGUUGUUUGGGAAUGCAGCUCUAAAUGGGAGGUAAAUUUCUUCUAAAGCUAAAUAUUGGCCAGAGACCGAUAGCGCACAAGUAGAGUGAUCGAAAGAUGAAAAGCACUUUGGAAAGAGAGUCAAACAGCACGUGAAAUUGUUGAAAGGGAAGCGCUUGCAGCCAGACUUGCUUGCAGUUGCUCAUCCGGGCUUUUGCCCGGUGCACUCUUCUGCAGGCAGGCCAGCAUCAGUUUGGGCGGUGGGAUAAAGGUCUCUGUCAUGUACCUCUCUUCGGGGAGGCCUUAUAGGGGAGGCGACAUACCACCAGCCUAGACUGAGGUCCGCGCAUCUGCUAGGAUGCUGGCGUAAUGGCUGUAAGCGGCCCGUCUUGAAACACGGACCAAGGAGUCUAACAUCUAUGCGAGUGUUUGGGUGUCAAGCCCGAGCGCGUAAUGAAAGUGAACGGAGGUGGGAACCCGCAAGGGUGCACCAUCGACCGAUCCUGAAGUUUACGGAAGGAUUUGAGUAAGAGCAUGGCUGUUGGGACCCGAAAGAUGGUGAACUAUGCUUGAAUAGGGUGAAGCCAGAGGAAACUCUGGUGGAGGCUCGCAGCGGUUCUGACGUGCAAAUCGAUCGUCAAAUUUGGGCAUAGGGGCGAAAGACUAAUCGAACUAUCUAGUAGCUGGUUCCUGCCGAAGUUUCCCUCAGGAUAGCAGUAACGUAUUCAGUUUUAUGAGGUAAAGCGAAUGAUUA